RNAcentral lists this ribosomal RNA (429 nucleotides) under Verrucomicrobiota bacterium. RNAcentral describes it as "Verrucomicrobia bacterium partial 16S ribosomal RNA". It matches the Rfam family "Bacterial small subunit ribosomal RNA", at positions 355 to 776 of the family's 1533-position model. The record is from RNAcentral. Lineage: Bacteria; Pseudomonadati; Verrucomicrobiota.
UGGGGAAUCUUCCGCAAUGGACGAAAGUCUGACGGAGCAACGCCGCGUGAGUGAAGACGGCCUUCGGGUUGUAAAGCUCUGUGAUUCGGGACGAAAGGCCAUAUGUGAAUAAUAUAUGGAAAUGACGGUACCGAAAAAGCAAGCCACGGCUAACUACGUGCCAGCAGCCGCGGUAAUACGUAGGUGGCAAGCGUUGUCCGGAAUUAUUGGGCGUAAAGCGCGCGCAGGUGGUUUAGAAAGUCUGAUGUGAAAGCCCACGGCUCAACCGUGGAGGGUCAUUGGAAACUAAUAAACUUGAGUGCAGGAGAGAAAAGUGGAAUUCCUAGUGUAGCGGUGAAAUGCGUAGAGAUUAGGAGGAACACCGGUGGCGAAAGCGACUUUCUGGACUUUUACUGACGCUCAGGUACGAAAGCGUGGGGAGCAAACAGG